GACGAACGCUGGCGGCAUGCCUAAUACAUGCAAGUCGAACGAGAUCUUCGGAUCUAGUGGCGCACGGGUGCGUAACGCGUGGGAAUCUGCCCUUGGGUUCGGAAUAACUUCUGGAAACGGAAGCUAAUACCGGAUGAUGACGUAAGUCCAAAGAUUUAUCGCCCAAGGAUGAGCCCGCGUAGGAUUAGCUAGUUGGUGGGGUAAAGGCCCACCAAGGCGACGAUCCUUAGCUGGUCUGAGAGGAUGAUCAGCCACACUGGGACUGAGACACGGCCCAGACUCCUACGGGAGGCAGCAGUAGGGAAUAUUGGACAAUGGGGGAAACCCUGAUCCAGCAAUGCCGCGUGAGUGAUGAAGGCCUUAGGGUUGUAAAGCUCUUUUACCCGGGAUGAUAAUGACAGUACCGGGAGAAUAAGCUCCGGCUAACUCCGUG
Molecule: ribosomal RNA, 433 nt
Filed under: uncultured bacterium
Lineage: Bacteria
Description: partial 16S ribosomal RNA
Rfam family: Bacterial small subunit ribosomal RNA
Source: RNAcentral